This 500-nucleotide ribosomal RNA is filed under the name uncultured bacterium. RNAcentral's name for it is "partial 16S ribosomal RNA". It matches the Rfam family "Bacterial small subunit ribosomal RNA", at positions 30 to 523 of the family's 1533-position model. The record is from RNAcentral.
AUUGAACGCUGGCGGAAUGCUUUACACAUGCAAGUCGAACGGCAGCACGGACUUCGGUCUGGUGGCGAGUGGCGAACGGGUGAGUAAUGUAUCGGAACGUGCCCAGUCGUGGGGGAUAACGUAGUGGAAAUUACGCUAAUACCGCAUACGAUCUAUGGAUGAAAGCGGGGGAUCGCAAGACCUCGCGCGAUUGGAGCGGCCGAUAUCAGAUUAGGUAGUUGGUGGGGUAAAGGACCACCAAGCCAACGAUCUGUAGCUGGUCUGAGAGGACGACCAGCCACACUGGAACUGAGACACGGUCCAGACUCCUACGGGAGGCAGCAGUGGGGAAUUUUGGACAAUGGGCGAAAGCCUGAUCCAGCCAUUCCGCGUGCAGGAUGAAGGCCCUCGGGUUGUAAACUGCUUUUGUACAGAACGAAAAGGUUUCUACUAAUACUAGGAGCUCAUGACGGUACUGUAAGAAUAAGCACCGGCUAACUACGUGCCAGCCGCCGCGGUAA